Molecule: ribosomal RNA, 253 nt
Filed under: uncultured bacterium
Lineage: Bacteria
Description: partial 16S ribosomal RNA
Rfam family: Bacterial small subunit ribosomal RNA
Source: RNAcentral
GACGUAGGGUGCAAGCGUUAAUCGGAAUUACUGGGCGUAAAGCGUGCGCAGGCGGUUUUGUAAGACAGGUGUGAAAUCCCCGGGCUUAACCUGGGAACUGCAUUUGUGACUGCAAGGCUGGAGUGCGGCAGAGGGGGAUGGAAUUCCGCGUGUAGCAGUGAAAUGCGUAGAUAUGCGGAGGAACACCGAUGGCGAAGGCAAUCCCCUGGGCCUGCACUGACGCUCAUGCACGAAAGCGUGGGGAGCAAACAGG